This 530-nucleotide ribosomal RNA is filed under the name uncultured bacterium. RNAcentral describes it as "partial 16S ribosomal RNA". It matches the Rfam family "Bacterial small subunit ribosomal RNA", at positions 356 to 895 of the family's 1533-position model. The record is from RNAcentral.
UGGGAAUAUUGCACAAUGGGCGAAAGCCUGAUGCAGCGACGCCGCGUGAGGGAUGACGGCCUUCGGGUUGUAAACCUCUUUCAGCAGGGAAGAAGCGAAAGUGACGGUACCUGCAGAAGAAGCGCCGGCUAACUACGUGCCAGCAGCCGCGGUAAUACGUAGGGCGCAAGCGUUGUCCGGAAUUAUUGGGCGUAAAGAGCUCGUAGGCGGUUAGUCGCGUCUGCUGUGAAAACUCGAGGCUCAACCUCGGGCUUGCAGUGGGUACGGGCUGACUAGAGUGCGGUAGGGGUGACUGGAAUUCCUGGUGUAGCGGUGGAAUGCGCAGAUAUCAGGAGGAACACCGAUGGCGAAGGCAGGUCACUGGGCCGCAACUGACGCUGAGGAGCGAAAGCAUGGGGAGCGAACAGGAUUAGAUACCCUGGUAGUCCAUGCCGUAAACGUUGGGCACUAGGUGUGGGGUCCAUUUCCACGGAUUCCGUGCCGCAGCAAACGCAUUAAGUGCCCCGCCUGGGGAGUACGGCCGCAAGGCU